This 1206-nucleotide ribosomal RNA is filed under the name Listeria monocytogenes. Its description in RNAcentral is "partial 23S ribosomal RNA". It matches the Rfam family "Bacterial large subunit ribosomal RNA", at positions 173 to 1375 of the family's 2925-position model. Lineage: Bacteria; Bacillati; Bacillota; Bacilli; Caryophanales; Listeriaceae. The record is from RNAcentral.
AGGAAGGCAGACCCAGGGAACUGAAACAUCUAAGUACCUGGAGGAAGAGAAAGAAAAAUCGAUUUCCUGAGUAGCGGCGAGCGAAACGGAAAGAGCCCAAACCAAGAAGCUUGCUUCUUGGGGUUGUAGGACACUCUAUACGGAGUUACAAAAGAAAGUUAUAAAUGAAGCGGUCUGGAAAGGCCCGCCAAAGACGGUAACAGCCCGGUAGUUGAAAUGGCUUUCCCUCCAGAGUGGAUCCUGAGUACGGCGGAACACGUGAAAUUCCGUCGGAAUCCGGGAGGACCAUCUCCCAAGGCUAAAUACUCCCUAGUGACCGAUAGUGAACCAGUACCGUGAGGGAAAGGUGAAAAGCACCCCGGAAGGGGAGUGAAACAGUUCCUGAAACCGUGUGCCUACAAGUAGUUAGAGCCCGUUAAUGGGUGAUAGCGUGCCUUUUGUAGAAUGAACCGGCGAGUUACGAUUUGUUGCAAGGUUAAGCGGAAAAAGCGGAGCCGUAGCGAAAGCGAGUCUGAAUAGGGCGCAUAAGUAACAGGUCGUAGACCCGAAACCAGGUGAUCUACCCAUGUCCAGGAUGAAGGUAAGGUAAUACUUACUGGAGGUCCGAACCCACGCACGUUGAAAAGUGCGGGGAUGAGGUGUGGGUAGCGGAGAAAUUCCAAUCGAACUUGGAGAUAGCUGGUUCUCUCCGAAAUAGCUUUAGGGCUAGCCUCGAGGUAAAGAGUCAUGGAGGUAGAGCACUGUUUGGACUAGGGGCCCUUCUCGGGUUACCGAAUUCAGAUAAACUCCGAAUGCCAUGUACUUAUACUCGGGAGUCAGACUGCGAGUGAUAAGAUCCGUAGUCGAAAGGGAAACAGCCCAGACCACCAGUUAAGGUCCCCAAAUAUAUGUUAAGUGGAAAAGGAUGUGGGGUUGCUUAGACAACCAGGAUGUUGGCUUAGAAGCAGCCACCAUUGAAAGAGUGCGUAAUAGCUCACUGGUCGAGUGACCCCGCGCCGAAAAUGUACCGGGGCUAAACAUAUUACCGAAACUGUGGAUGAACCUCUUUAGAGGUUCGUGGUAGGAGAGCGUUCUAAGGGCGGUGAAGUCAGACCGGAAGGACUGGUGGAGCGCUUAGAAGUGAGAAUGCCGGUAUGAGUAGCGAAAGAAGGGUGAGAAUCCCUUCCACCGAAUAUCUAAGGUUUCCUGAGGAAGGCUCGUCCGCUC